UACAGAGGGUGCGAGCGUUGUCCGGAAUCACUGGGCGUAAAGGGUGCGUAGGCGGGUUUUUAAGUCAGAGGUGAAAUCCUGGAGCUCAACUCCAGAACUGCCUUUGAUACUGAAGAUCUUGAGUUCGGGAGAGGUGAGUGGAACUGCGAGUGUAGAGGUGAAAUUCGUAGAUAUUCGCAAGAACACCGGUGGCGAAGGCGGCUCACUGGCCCGAUACUGACGCUGAGGCACGAAAGCGUGGGGAGCAAACAGG
RNAcentral lists this ribosomal RNA (253 nucleotides) under uncultured bacterium. RNAcentral's name for it is "partial 16S ribosomal RNA". It matches the Rfam family "Bacterial small subunit ribosomal RNA", at positions 524 to 776 of the family's 1533-position model. The record is from RNAcentral.